GGGCCACACCUCAGAGCGAGGCUUUCAAACCACAGGCCGCGUCCCUUUGCGGUCCCAGGAAAUCAACGUAGCUCAUGCUCGCCAGCAUUCAAAACAAAAAAUGCAAAAACAGCGAACAAGCUAACACCAAUGACUAACGAGAAAGAGAACAGGAACGACCAGACUCUCCUGCGUGAUUGGAGGCCCUUAUCUGGACUGGGAAGAACAGAACAGAUCCUAGCAUGGAGCUCUGUGGAGUAUGUGCUCGAGAAACGGGAAGGGACCGAGCCCUCACGACAAGGUGUGUAGACAGUGGAGGCAGAUGAAACCCAGGCCAUGCGAUUCCUAAGCAUAACCUCUACCCGUGGAUGUAUUCAGAAGACGGAACAACGGAGCAGCACAAGGUAAGAGCAGUCAGAACGCGAUGGCCCUUGAGCGGAGCCGUCCUGCAGACCCUUGCCGGGCGAACCCGGCUGUAUCACAAGAGGCUAGCACAGUGAC
This is a long non-coding RNA of Leopardus geoffroyi (Geoffroy's cat), 480 nucleotides long. RefSeq lists it as uncharacterized. Lineage: Eukaryota; Metazoa; Chordata; Mammalia; Carnivora; Felidae. The transcript is spliced from 3 exons. The record is from RefSeq and is a predicted model, not a curated record.